UACGGAGGAUGCAAGCGUUAUCCGGAUUCAUUGGGUUUAAAGGGUGCGUAGGUGGGAUAAUAAGUCAGGGGUGAAAGCCAGCAGCUUAACUGUUGAAUUGCCUUUGAUACUGUUAUUCUUGAAUAUGUUUGAAGUGGGCGGAAUGUGACAUGUAGCGGUGAAAUGCGUAGAUAUGUCACAGAACACCGAUUGCGAAGGCAGCUCACUAAGCCAUUAUUGACACUGAUGCACGAAAGCGUGGGGAUCAAACAGGAUUAGAUACCCUGGUAGUCCACGCCGUAAACUAUGAUAACUCGACGUUGGCAAUAUACUGUUCAGCGUCCAAGCGAAAGCGUUAAGUUAUCCACCUGGGAAGUACGAUCGCAAGGUUGAA
RNAcentral lists this ribosomal RNA (373 nucleotides) under uncultured bacterium. RNAcentral describes it as "bacterial SSU rRNA". It matches the Rfam family "Bacterial small subunit ribosomal RNA", at positions 524 to 898 of the family's 1533-position model. The record is from RNAcentral.